This 69-nucleotide transfer RNA is filed under the name Clinocottus analis (woolly sculpin). RNAcentral describes it as "tRNA-Met". Lineage: Eukaryota; Metazoa; Chordata; Actinopteri; Perciformes; Cottidae. The record is from RNAcentral.
AGUAAGGUCAGCUAAUUAAGCUCUUGGGCCCAUACCCCGAACAUGUUGGUUAACUUCCUUCCUUUACUA